This 461-nucleotide ribosomal RNA is filed under the name uncultured bacterium. RNAcentral's name for it is "partial 16S ribosomal RNA". It matches the Rfam family "Bacterial small subunit ribosomal RNA", at positions 338 to 795 of the family's 1533-position model. The record is from RNAcentral.
CCUACGGGUGGCAGCAGUGAGGAAUAUUGGUCAAUGGGCGCAAGCCUGAACCAGCCAAGUCGCGUGAGGGAAGACGGCCCUACGGGUUGUAAACCUCUUUUGCCGGGGAGCAAGCCUGAGCACGUGUGCCCAGGCGGAGAGUACCCGGAGAAAAAGCAUCGGCUAACUCCGUGCCAGCAGCCGCGGUAAUACGGAGGAUGCGAGCGUUAUCCGGAUUUAUUGGGUUUAAAGGGUGCGUAGGUGGUUAAUUAAGUCAGCGGUGAAAGUUUGUGGCUCAACCAUAAAAUUGCCGUUGAAACUGGUUGACUUGAGUAUAUUUGAGGUAGGCGGAAUGCGUGGUGUAGCGGUGAAAUGCAUAGAUAUCACGCAGAACUCCGAUUGCGAAGGCAGCUUACUAAACUAUAACUGACACUGAAGCACGAAAGCGUGGGGAUCAAACAGGAUUAGAUACCCUGGUAGUC